ACUCAAAAGACUUUUGCUGGAAAAAAUGGCUGGUGCUCUGUCUCCGGCCACCACUCUCCGCCUUAAGCCCUUCUACGCCGUCCGGUUCUUCAGUCAUUACCGAAGACCUAUCAAAGUCUUAAACCCCAAUUUCUACUCAUCGUACCCUCCACAGCUGCCUCCAGCACCCUACUUGAGCCGUCGACGGAGCUUUUGCUCUGUGGUUUCCGCCGCUAUUUCAUCCGGAGAAGCAGUUGAAAGACCCAAAUUUGAAAAUAUUGAGGCAAAAGAGGGGGUAAAAACUGAAAAAG
Molecule: unclassified non-coding RNA, 290 nt
Filed under: Hevea brasiliensis (rubber tree)
Lineage: Eukaryota; Viridiplantae; Streptophyta; Magnoliopsida; Malpighiales; Euphorbiaceae
Source: RNAcentral